This 1561-nucleotide unclassified non-coding RNA is filed under the name Polistes fuscatus (common paper wasp). RNAcentral's name for it is "vacuolar protein-sorting-associated protein 25, transcript variant X2". The record is from RNAcentral. Lineage: Eukaryota; Metazoa; Arthropoda; Insecta; Hymenoptera; Vespidae.
UAAACAUUUUAUUAGCAAAUUAGUGCACUUAUUCAUAAUAUUCGCCAUUUGUGUUAAUAAUGUUCAUGCUUGCAACCAAAGUGACACGAGUAUUCUAGGGAAAAUAUUUACCAAGGUUGACAAACUUAAAAAAUAUAUUAUAAAAUAAACUUGCUUGCUGUCAGACGAUAUUUACAAUACGUUUAUACAAUAAUAAUAAAUAAUGGCAGAAAUCGAAUGGCCAUGGCAAUACAGUUUUCCUCCAUUUUUUACUCUCCAACCACACGCAGAUACAAAAGCAAAACAAUUGGAAGCAUGGAAAAGUUUGGUAUUAGAAUAUUAUCGGAUCACAAAACAAGCAAUUAUAGAUGUAAGAGAAGUCCAUUCGAGUCCUCUUUUUAACAACAGUGCAAUCAAUCGUAAACUACCAUCUGAAGUAGUACUUAUAAUAUUAGAAGAGUUAAGCAAAACAGGAAACGCUAUGCCAUUAGAUAAGACAAAACAAAGGUGGUUAGUUUACUGGCAUACGUUAGAAGAAUGGGGUGAAAUAAUAUAUAAUUGGGCACAAGAAACUGGACAGAUUGGUUCCGUAUGUACUUUAUAUGAAUUAACGCAAGGAGAGGAGACAGUCGAUCAAGAAUUUUAUAAACUAGAUACAGAAGUAUUAAUAAGAUCUCUUAGAACACUUGAGUACGCUAAAAAGGCUGAACUGAUAAUGUUCGACGAUAAUCAAGGUGUUAAAUUUUUCUGAUUGGAUAUUUAUUAUCCAGAAAAUACGCAUAUUAAAAAAUUCAAUGUUAUUCAACUAUUUUUCUAAUAAUGAAAAGUUCUUAAUUAUCAUUUUUAUAAUGAAUAUUGAAAUUAUCUAUUCUAUACGUUUUUAAUGAAGAACAAGAAUUAUUUGAAGGGUACAUUAAGUUCUCCUCUGCUCAUCUUUUCGAUAAUGCAAGCUCCAAGUGCAUCGCACAUUACAUUAAUUGUAGUUCGGAAUCGAUCUCUAAAUAAAUUAAACAAUCGUUUAUAUAAUACUAUGAUAUAUAAAAGAAAAUAAUACGCACAGAUAUUUGAAAUUAAAAAUUUAAACCUACAGCAACCAAUCUACGGCAAUAAUUAGAGUGACAUCCUUCGCAGGUAAACCUAUGGUAUCCAAAACCAUAACCAUUGUAACAAGACCUGCUUGUGGUAUACCAGCAGCACCUAUACUUGCAGCUGUUGCAGUUACGCUUAAAAAAAGAUUUAAAAAUGAUUAUUUUCUAUAGAUACUUAGCAGUUAUUUUAUAAUUUCUAUUUUUCUUAAAUACAACAAAAAUAAAAUACCUAACACCGAUGACUUUACUAAGAGUUAACGAUACGCCUCUAACUUGAGAAAUAAAUAUAGCUGCAACUGCUUCGUAUAAUGCAGUUCCGUCCAUGUUAAUAGUUGCUCCAAUUGGUACAACAAAUCUUGUUAUUCUAGGAUCUGCUCCCAUGUCAUCCAAGCACUGCAGAGUUACUGGCAGUGUAGCAGUACUGAACGAAUAAAUGUAUUUGUAUACGUGUAAUAACUUUUUGCAACAAUUGCAAUACAAAUGAAUAAUAUUCA